RNAcentral lists this ribosomal RNA (253 nucleotides) under uncultured bacterium. Its description in RNAcentral is "partial 16S ribosomal RNA". It matches the Rfam family "Bacterial small subunit ribosomal RNA", at positions 524 to 776 of the family's 1533-position model. The record is from RNAcentral.
UACGAAGGGGGCUAGCGUUGUUCGGAAUCACUGGGCGUAAAGCGCACGUAGGCGGACUUUCAAGUCAGGGGUGAAAUCCCGGAGCUCAACUUCGGAAUUGCCUUUGAUACUGUUGGUCUCGAGUCCGGAAGAGGUGGGUGGAAUUCCUAGUGUAGAGGUGAAAUUCGUAGAUAUGUGGAGGAACACCGAUGGCGAAGGCAGCCCCCUGGGUUAACACUGACGCUCAUGCACGAAAGCGUGGGGAGCAAACAGG